RNAcentral lists this small RNA (773 nucleotides) under Pan troglodytes (chimpanzee). RNAcentral's name for it is "processed transcript". The record is from RNAcentral. Lineage: Eukaryota; Metazoa; Chordata; Mammalia; Primates; Hominidae.
ACUUUGGCCUUAAAGUAGGAGCUCAAGGACAGGUUUGAGAGGCUGUCCUGUCUGGCUUCAAAGAACUUUCAAGAAAAAUUACUUCCUUUUUUCUUUUCCCUUGUGAAUCUCUCAUGAGUACCUCUCAUUGGCAAACUAACCCAGACUACAUAGGGAAGAAGAUCCUGGGCUUCUCUACAUAGCAAAGUGUGAUUUGGAAGGAAUCAUGCCAAAUGUUACCAUCAGCUUGAGUCUCCCCACCAAUGGAUCUCCACUUCAGGAUAUUCUAGUUCACCCUUGUGUAACUUCUCUUGACUCUGCAAUUCUGACUUCUAGUAGUAUUGAUGCAAUGGAUGACUCUGCAUUUAGUGGGCCUUACAAAUUUCCAUUCACUCCACCUUUAGAGUCAUUCAACUUAUGCUUCUACACUUCCCAGGUCCCUGUCCCACCAAUUUUGGGUUUUUAUCAAAUGAAGGAGGAAGAAGUACAACUAAGAAUAACCAUUAAUUUAAAACUUCAUGAAAGUGUGAAAAAUAAUUUUGAAUUCUGUGAAGCCCAUAUACCUUUUUACAAUAGAGGUCCAAUUACACAUUUGGAAUACAAAACUAGUUUUGGCCAGCUCGAAGUAUUUCGAGAGAAAAGCUUAUUGAUCUGGAUUAUUGGCCAGAAGUUCCCAAAAUCAAUGGAAAUUAGUCUUUCUGGAACUGUAACUUUUGGAGCCAAGAGCCAUGAGAAGCAGCCAUUUGACCCAAUUUGUACUGGAGAAACAGCAUAUUUAAAGGUAAACAUAUUUA